UACAGAGGUCUCAAGCGUUGUUCGGAUUCAUUGGGCGUAAAGGGCGCGUAGGCGGCUUGGUCAGUCAGGCGUGAAAUUCCUGGGCUUAACCUGGGGACUGCGCUUGAUACGGCCAGGCUUGAGGAUGGAAGAGGGUCGCGGAAUUCCCAGUGUAGAGGUGAAAUUCGUAGAUAUUGGGAAGAACACCGGUGGCGAAGGCGGCGACCUGGUCCAUUACUGACGCUGAGGCGCGACAGCGUGGGGAGCAAACAGG
RNAcentral lists this ribosomal RNA (253 nucleotides) under uncultured bacterium. RNAcentral's name for it is "partial 16S ribosomal RNA". It matches the Rfam family "Bacterial small subunit ribosomal RNA", at positions 524 to 776 of the family's 1533-position model. The record is from RNAcentral.